CAUAGUGGUUUCUGAGCUCCUGAGGGCUGACGUGGUAUCGUAGUCACCUUAGCAUCUCUAAUCUUUAGUGCCAGACUGGGUAUACGCAGGAUGAUCGUUUUGAAGGACAAAUCUGAUAGGUGAGCUCUACCCCACCCCCUCCCCUUGAACCCUUCCGUGGCUACCCAUUCCUCCUUACUAUGAUCUGAGUGUCCCUGUGCAUCUGACUUCUGGCUAAUUAGAAACUACUAAUUCCUACUAUCCUUUAGUUCCAGCUUAAAUAUCGCUUUCCCGUGCAAGCUUCCCCUAAUCUUCCUCCACCAACACACAAAGUUAGGACCCCAUGAGACACCCACCCCCAUAGCCUGUGCUUUUCCCCUGUGUCAGUGAUCACAACUGUCAUCAUGCGAUUCUUCCUGGAAUAUUUGUCUUCCCCAUGGACUGUAAGUUCCACAAAGGCUGGGAUGGUAUGUGCACUCCUGCAUCCUCAGUGCUGGCCAGUGCCUGCAACACAGUAGGGCUGCUUCCUCCCUGGGCCCAUCAUCCUUUAUUCAGGUGUCUUUACCCCAGAGCUUGCGAAUUUCCAGGUCCUACUCACGGUUCCUUUCCACAGGCAUGGGAAGUCCCAGACAAUACGGCUUCUGGCAGACUGACUUGCCUUGCCAAAGCUCACGACCUGGCUUGCGUGGCAAAUAAUGAAAGAGCUUGAACAGGGGAAUUCUUCAUGAUAGCAUGCUGAUUCAUUCUGCAAAGUAGUGCCUGAGCACCUCCUGUGUGCCUGGGGCUGAGGACGGAGUGGUGAACAAGACAGUGAAAACCCCCUCCUCAUGAAGCUUACCUUCCAAUGGCUGUCUUCGCAUUUGUGUUAAAAGGAGAGUGACGUGUUUCCAGUCUUCAACUCAAGAGAAACUGUUACUCAAGGAAUUGGACUUGAAGAGCCUCAUCUGCACAUGGACCUGGUUUAAAUGGUGAGAGUCUGGACUCUGAGCUCAUGCUGUGAUGAGAUGAGAGUUUGGGGGACCUUGAAAGCGGGUGAGUUUAUUUUGUGUGUGAGAGGGCAUGAAUAAUUCAGAAGAUGGACU
RNAcentral lists this long non-coding RNA (1061 nucleotides) under Equus asinus (donkey). RNAcentral's name for it is "lncRNA (ENSEASG00005036194.1)". The record is from RNAcentral. Lineage: Eukaryota; Metazoa; Chordata; Mammalia; Perissodactyla; Equidae.